CCCUCCACCUCAGCAGCAGCUUGCUAUCUCGACCCUCUCCUCUCUUUCAGCAAUUUCUGUCCCCCAUCGCCUCGUGGCCCUUCUUUGUUGUUGUUUCUUGUUGCCGUCCUCAUAGCGUUGCCGUUGUUUUGCUUGUUGCGGCCGUCCUCGUCCUGCUUCCCCCCUGAUCCGACCACUUCACUGUCGCGUUGGUGUUUUGGGGCCAAAAAAAAGUUUGCUUGUUUUUCUGCUUCAUCUACUAAAACUAAGGACAUCCUAAUUCCCUAUUAAUAUUCACUUCCUCACACACCCACACCAAACCACAACGGCUUCACUCGUCGCGGCGGGAUUCAAGAGGUCGAGACCAUUACAGGUGAAUCCACAACACAUAUCGCAGACCUCUUCUCGCUGUCGAUGUCUUAAAAAUAUCCCUGGAUUUACCCAUUUGCCUCCCUCGCCCACACGAUCCAUAUAUUUCUUUCCAUCACCGAAGAACAGAAAGAGCUGAGAAGGAAGUCGAAUUAUUCAGAAAACUAUAGUGUUUCAUCCCCCCCCCUCACGCUGUCUCCUCCAUACUCCUUUAAAAACCCCAAACUCCCUGGCCACUGGAAAGUUAUUAUUACCGGAUUGAAACAAACUUCAGAUUGUCCUUUCCCUUCCCCUCCGUCGGGCCCCGUUCGUCUUUGCGGAGGAGAGGAGGGAUUUGGCAGCCUGCUUGUCCAUGUCGAAAAGAGUUGCACAGGCUCAGGGCGGGAAGGAUCUCGCAGGGGGUUUCGGGAACGAGAUGUCUGCGAAUCCCACUGAUAUGCCCAAGCGGGCUACGGCUGCGCAGUUGGCCAGUAGAAAAAUCAAACAGGCUCGACAGCGUACUCGCAUAGCCUCACCUAACCUUCCAUCUUCUACAUCCCAAUCAUUUACCAGCCCUUUCAGCACUAUUGACCCGAAUAUCGUUCCUUCUAGCUCCUCGACCGGGACAAACGGCUUCAACUUUGGCCAAGCUCAGAGCUUCCCCCAGCCGGGUUCGGGCACAGGUACAACCCCGCAGACCUCUUUCUUUGGCGACCAAAAUAACUCCGUGCCCAAGUUCUUUGGUAGCCAGGCAGGUUCUGCACCGUCUUCGUUCAGCUUCACUCCAUCAGCGACUCAGGAAAUAAAGAAUCCCUUCGCUGAUAUGCCCUCUGUGUUUGGUCAGAGCCAGUCUUCAACGGGAGUCUUCCAGGGUUUCCAGGGUAAAACCUUCAAUAUUCCGGGGACUACAAGCCAAGGUGACCAGAAUGAAGCUGGUCAGCAAGCGCCAUCUGCUGGGAUCUUUGGGGCCUCUCAGCCGCCACAGCAGACCAUUUUCGCAUUUGGAGGCAGUUCUGCGCCUGCAAGUUCUUCACUCUUUUCGGCUACACCUCCCGCUUCCACGCCACCAAUAACAUCCGCCCCUCUUUUCAGCCAGUCGACUGCGAGUAACAUUUUUGCGCCAUCAACGCCAUCCACAAAUAUGUUUGGUUCUAGUCCUCAAACUAAUAAACCAAGUGACGAGAUGCAAAUGUCACCGCCUGGCAAAACUGACAGUAUCAAUGAAAAUAAGGCCAGCCAAUUCUUUGCUUCUGGCGUUUCGCAGCCAUCAUUCACUUCCUCAGCGACCCAGCGGUCUCCCUUUGGGACACCCGCUCCCCCAUCUACUUCCCAACCAUUUUCUUCUCCUAUUUUCAACACGACUCCAUCUGGUGGAAGCAUGCUCUUUGGAACCAUGAAAAAACCCGAUGAGACUUCCCAACCCGCCACAUCGUCGAUUACUCAGCCGUCUCCAAAAUUUUUGUUUACCCCUUCUAUUAUGUCCGGCAGCUCGAUAUUCAGUCAUCCCAGCAAACCUGGUAACGACACACCAAACACAGUAACUGCGACUGUUUCAACGCCGUCGUUUUCCACUUCUUUCUCGGCUCCCGCGUCUGCUCCUUUCAGCCUUUUCGGCACCUCCUCGCAGCCGAAAGAGUUGCCAGCACCAUCUACAACCGAAGAUAGACCGUCGUCGGCUAAAUCUCCCUCCGCGGAACCUACCAAACCUACCACCGUUACUGGGACUUCAGUUUUUGGUCACAUCGCGAAGCCCACGGAACAGCCCCCUGCAAUCUCUACAUCUGUAGCAGAAGAUGAGAAAUCUUCAGCAGAAGCUCCGUCACCGGCACAACCCGCCACUCCAUCUGCCACUCCUUUUCCGUCUACACCUAGCGGCGGUGGUUCAUUAUUUGGCCGUACUAACAAACCCGGCGAAACCAGCCAACCCACAUCGAUUUUCAACACUCCAGCUACUAGCACGACUCCCAGUGGCCCCGUCUUCUCAUUUACCCCCUCAUCGACUAAUGUCUUCCAGACUCCAUCGAAAACCCCUUCGGCCAUUUCCAAUGAAGUGAAAACAAAGGAAAGCGGCCCGUUUCAAACAAAGGCCACGGGUGACACGGCACCAAGCGGUACCAGCAAGCUGUUUACGUCUUUGUCUCAAAGCCAACAACCACCCAGUAAUUCGUUUGGAUCCACUCCAGCAUCGUCUCCAUUUAAAAGCACAGUUGUCCCGGAAAAGACUCCAUCAACCCCUCCUGCGAUUUCCGCUUCCCUUCCUGGAAAAUCUACUCCAACCACGACUCCAAAAUCUUCCUUUGCUGGAAUUUCGAAUGGUGAAGGCGGACUCUCCAAGUCUACUGACACACCUCCAGCGAAAGUAGAGUCGGUUUUGAAGAGGAAAGAAUCCUUGACUUCUAAAUCCCGACUCGCUUCAUAUGGCCCACCAGCGAUCCCACAAGAACUCAACAAUGAUGAACGGGCAGCAUUCGACACCGAAUGGCGGUUGAACGCACUGAAUACUUCUUUCCAGAGACGUGUCGCAGAGGCGGAUCCCAAGUCUGACGAUAUUGAAGUCUUGGUAGAAUUCUACGUAAGAGUACGGGAAAAUAUCGGCGUCCCGACGGGAUUAGCUAUGCUUCACAAAUCAGGAAAGAAGCGGAAAGAAGUCGAAGAAGAUGGAUGCGUUGUGGAAGAUUCCUCACGGAAUAAACGGCCUAAGGGUCUCCUCCCAGAAACGAACAACACGUCGUUAUUUUCAUCACCCGCUGCUGUAGAUGCCAGCAAUUCUUCUGGCGAUAAAUCUGCAAGUGCAAGUGUAAAUUUUUCUUCAACUGCUUCUUCCUUCGGAAAACGCAGGAUGACUGACGUUGAAGACGAGACUAGCAGCCGUGGCGAACUUGGAAAUAGCAAUGGCAAAAGACUCAAACCCAUUGGUGAUUCAGCCACCAGUGCAAGUCCACUUCAAAAAUCCAGUACUGACACGGAGCAGAAAAAGAGGAAGAAUGACAGUGAAGGCACUGGUUCUGGUUCCGGUAUAAGUGCAGCAUCCGAUACAGUGACGAUGUUUGCCACGUCAUUCGUGUCCCAAUCAAACAGAGCAAAGAGUCCUGUGGGGUUCACAGCUCCGUUUUCAUCUCUCUCCUCAACGCAGAACGGUACUGAGGGUCCCGGUACUGUAUCUCUUUCAUCGCAGGGCUCGGAGAGCGAGAACGACACUGAAAGUAAUGAUUCAGCAGAGGAAGAUGGUGGGGAAGGCGAAGGGGAAGGGGAAUCUGAGACUUCCCUGACACCACCGGCUACGAGCAAUGGUGGGCGCAGUCUAUUUGACAGGGUAGAGCUAGAUCAGAGUGGCAAGCCAGUACGUCAGGAGGUACCGGAAAUAGAGACGGUCGCGACGCCAAGCUCCGGAGAGAAAGACUCGAACUCGAACGUUUCAUCAUUAUUCGCUGGGUCUAAAUUUGCUUCGUCAUUCAAUUCACCAGGAUCCAUCGGUACCCCGCAAUUCUCAAAUGGAUUUGAUUUCAGAUCCCCUGGGUCUCUAUCUCCAAUAAAUCCUAGCCCAGGAGCUUCAGAUGCGAAAUCGCCACCGGCCAUAUCUGCCAGUAGCACAAGUACAUCGGCACCCACCACUUCGGCCAUUCCCACUACCACCUCCUCCCUCUUCCCAAAGGCCACUAGCUCCCUCCUUCCCAACGGCAGCGCUCAACUCUCCCCCUUCCCUUUGUCAUCUGUCACAUCCGCCGACGUCAGCCGUGCCACAACCCCUAACCUCUCCGAAGCCGGAGCCGAUGAACCCGAAGAAGCCGCCGACGACCUCCCGCAAGUCAACCUGCUCCGCGGCGGUACAGGGGAAGAGGACGAAGACGAAGUCUUCGAAACCCGAGUCAAAGCCCUGAAGUUGGGCGUGGAUCCUGCGUCUGAGGAUCCAAAACCAAAACUGCAAUGGAUACUGCAAGGGGUGGGACUGUUGCGGAUCCUGAAGCACAAGACAACGGGGCGAGCGCGUAUUUUGGUACGGGCGGAUCCGAGCGGCAGGGUUCUGCUCAAUGCCAAUCUUGUCGCGGCGGUUAGUUAUAAGAGUACUGGUAGCGCUGUGCAGUUUCUGGUACCGCAGGAGCCGAAGCCCGAGCAGUGGAUUGCGAGGGUUAAGAAGGAGGAGAUUGCGGUGGAGCUUGCUGGGGUUAUGGAGAAGUAUAAGAAGUGAGUGACUGAGUUGGGUGCGAAUAUGUUCAGCCCUAUGCUUAGGCCUUGGUUUGAUAUUUUAGAGGGUCAACAGGUUGGUUUAUUCAGUUACACAAGGUUCAUACUCUUACUAGGGUUAGAAGCGAAACGAGAAAGAUGAUAUGGUUUGGUAUGGUAUGAUGGAUGAGCACGGAAUACAGAAUGAAUAUGAUGUGGGGCGGGUGGUUGAGCUUUGGUUUGCCCUUGUUCUGUUCUGGUAUUUGCAUGUUUGGAUGUCCUUUCUUCUCAUUUUUACUUAUUCAUUUACACUUUUCAAAGUCUCUCAAAACACACACUAGCGUUAAGAAUUCCUGUCAUCUUUUCUGUUUUCUAUCAUAUUUUCUAUCAUAUUUUUGUUACAUCUUGUUUGGUGUUUUACCCAUUUACUUUCUCUGCGAGGUGUUUUUUUUUUAUCCCAUUACUUUUCUUUUCUUUUCUUUGCUUUUUUAUUUUUUUUUUUUUUUUUAGUAAAACUUACAUUUUGUUCCUUUUUUCGUUUCUUAAUUUAUCAUUUUUCAUCCUUUUUGUUUUCCUGUUCAGUUUUGCCAUGUCGAAUAUCUACUUUAUUCUUGCUUUCUUCUCUUAUAUAUUCCUUUUCACCUUACCACCAUUAAGCAAUCUUGAAAGCAAGGCAGGCAGGUUUCACCAUUUCACAUUUUUCUACCUUUGUUUUAUUUACGACUUGGCUCAGCGCCAAAGGAACGAAGGAAAAGAAGAGAGGGAGCAUGAAAUUAAUGUUCUUAACAAUAAUGCCAUUUUCUAUUUUUUAAUUUUUUUCUUCCGCCCUUCUACAUUUCUUUCGCCCCUUUCCUCCUUGUUAUUUUUGCCCAAUUAUUUCUUCAAUAUAUCUUUUCUCUUGUUGCUUUCAUUCCGGUUGUUACGGUUUCUUGUACAUGUAUAUCCCCUAUCUUCUAGCCCUUUCCCUGGCUGGUUUUCUCAGCUUGUGCAGCCUCCAGCACGUACAAACAAAUCCUAUUGAAACAUAUACGUACUCCCUUUCACAAGCUAUCCAACAUAACUACCGCUUAUAGGGACACAGGCGCAACGCGGAGUCCCAUCAGGCCAAUGAAGCC
This 5603-nucleotide small RNA is filed under the name Histoplasma capsulatum var. duboisii H88. Its description in RNAcentral is "Histoplasma capsulatum H88 hypothetical RNA". The record is from RNAcentral. Lineage: Eukaryota; Fungi; Ascomycota; Eurotiomycetes; Onygenales; Ajellomycetaceae.